Molecule: long non-coding RNA, 348 nt
Filed under: Triticum aestivum (bread wheat)
Lineage: Eukaryota; Viridiplantae; Streptophyta; Magnoliopsida; Poales; Poaceae
Description: long non-coding RNA (TAES_LNC006522)
Source: RNAcentral
AAUCCCUUGUAUCUAUUUGCACACAUCCAGGCAGAAGUUGGUUUUGCUACUGGGUCUAGUUGCACAUAGUGGUGUUUAAUUACACAGACAUCAUAUUACUAUUGCUACUCCCUCCAAUUAUGGAGAAGACUGGUGGAAGAUCCAGAGGCAAAGGGGAAGGGAAAGUACAGAAGGGAGGAUUAGGAGCCAGAAGUGAACUUACUUUGAUUGAUGCUGCCUGGUAUGCUUCUUCUCCUCCCUCCUGUUACCACUUUAGUUCUUGUCAAAAAAAUCAGCUUGUUUGGUUUGCCAUGGUAGCUCUGUAGGUUUUUGGAUCCAGGAUGGGAUCCCCUUUCUUUCAUGGAGAAG